AGAGUUUGAUCCUGGCUCAGAACGAACGCUGGCGGCAUGCUUAAGACAUGCAAGUCGAACGAUAUCUUUGAUAGAGUGGCGCACGGGUGAGUAACGCGUGGGUAUCUACCCUUUUGUUCGGGAUAACGAUUGGAAACGAUCGCUAAUACCGAAUAUUCCCUCCGGGGAAAAGGUCCGCCGCAAAAGGAGGAGCCCGCGUCCGAUUAGUUUGUUGGUGGGGUAAAGGCCUACCAAGACUACGAUCGGUAGCUGGUCUGAGAGGAUGAUCAGCCACACUGGGACUGAGACACGGCCCAGACUCCUACGGGAGGCAGCAGUCGGGAAUAUUGGACAAUGGGGGAAACCCUGAUCCAGCAAUGCCGCGUGUGUGAUGAAGGCCCUAGGGUUGUAAAACACUUUAAUUGGUGAAGAUGAUGACGGUAACCAAAGAAUAAGCCCCGGCUAACUUCGUGCCAGCAGCCGCGGUAAUACGAAGGGGGCGAGCGUUGUUCGGAAUUACUGGGCGUAAAGGGAGCGCAGGCGGUUUAUUUAGUUAGGCGUGAAAUCCCUAGGCUUAACCUAGGAACUGCGCUUAAUACUGAUAAACUAGAAAACAGGAGAGGGUAGUGGAAUUCCCAGUGUAGAGGUGAAAUUCGUAGAUAUUGGGAAGAACACCAGUGGCGAAAGCGGCUACCUAGCCUGAUUUUGACGCUGAGGCUCGAAAGCGUGGGGAGCAAACAGGAUUAGAUACCCUGGUAGUCCACGCCGUAAACGAUGACUGCUAGAUGUUGGAAGGUUACCUUUCAGUGUCGCCGCUAACGCAUUAAGCAGUCCGCCUGGGAAGUACGGUCGCAAGAUUAAAACUCAAAGGAAUUGACGGGGGCCCGCACAAGCGGUGGAGCAUGUGGUUUAAUCCGACCUGGGAAGUACGGUCGCAAGAUUAAAACUCAAAGGAAUUGACGGGGGCCCGCACAAGCGGUGGAGCAUGUGGAGCGAAGAACCUUACCAGGGUUUGACAUCCUGCGAACCUCUUAGAAAUUUGAGGGUGCCUUCGGGAAUGCAGUGACAAGAACCUUACCAGGCCUUGACAUGGGUAGUUUGGUUAUUGGAGACAAUUUCCUUCAGUUCGGCUGGCUACCACACAGGUGCUGCACGGCUGUCGUCAGCUCGUGUCGUGAGAUGUUGGGUUAAGUCCCGCAACGAGCGCAACCCUCAUUUUUAGUUGCCAUCGGUUUGGCCGGGCACUCUAAAGAAACUGCCUGCGACGAGCAGGAGGAAGGCGAGGACGACGUCAAGUCAUCAUGGCCCUUAUGGACUGGGCUACACACGUGCUACAAUGGCGGUAACAAUGGGCAGCGACAGGGUGACCUUGAGCAAAUCCCAAAAAGCCGUCCCA
This 1375-nucleotide ribosomal RNA is filed under the name metagenome. RNAcentral describes it as "bacterial SSU rRNA". It matches the Rfam family "Bacterial small subunit ribosomal RNA", at positions 8 to 1290 of the family's 1533-position model. The record is from RNAcentral.